This 894-nucleotide long non-coding RNA is filed under the name Chrysolophus pictus (golden pheasant). RNAcentral's name for it is "lncRNA (ENSCPIG00010014673.1)". The record is from RNAcentral. Lineage: Eukaryota; Metazoa; Chordata; Aves; Galliformes; Phasianidae.
GGAUGUGUUUCUUUGCACAGUGUACAGGGGGGAGAGGGUGAAAGUCUUGUGUCUCCUGUAUAAGAACUGGGGACAUGAGAUGACACCGCUGGUUGUUCCGUCAACGAGGAAAGAAAAUGAAUGUUUUGGAGGUGGAGGAAGAUGGAGGCAACAGAAACGGAGGGAGAAAAAAAAGGAGAAGAUCCCACACUAUCCUUGCAGUAGUGAAAGGACACGGCCAGCAAAUGACAGAUUCUCAGUUGACAACAACAGUAUUAAAGCCAAAGUAAUCCUUUGUGGUGGGAUCCAAGGAACACCGUGCACGCUCAUUUGCAAAACACUUGCAAAACCCCGACCUUUGUUGCAGAAUGUAACUUCAAGGCUUGGCUGACUCUUAUACAUGAUCUAAUUAAGCAUGCCUGAAAGUGUAUUUACGAAAAAAAAAAAAAAGACAGAAGUAGAAGUGCUUAUAAUCCAGUGUUCUCAAGUCUCUUCAACAUUCCUUGAAUAGCUGCAUUCCUGCCUUGGUUCAGGAGCAGCACAUGCUCCUAAUGCGUAAUCCCCAAAUGACUCUUCACUUGCAAUAUUACUCAAUUCCUACAGCUGUUUGGCUCCUGUUUAAGUAUCUGAAUUGCAAUGAUCCAUGUGUGCUUCCUGCAUGUUUGGGUGCGUUAUCCCACUGAUUUUAAGGCAAAUUUCUCAUUCUAUGUUUCAUAUCCUAAACAUAUUUGGCAGCAUUUUUCUUUCUGUCUGUAUUAUCUUUGUGUUGCACUGAAUGAAAAGAAAAUAACAUUUUUGGAAGGUCUUUUAAACUUUGUUGGACAAGUUAGAGACUCCACGUUUGUUUUCAAUGAUGGCCAAAGGAAAUCAAAGCAGACAGACAUUUUUGAGAAAUAAAGUAUUCCAGCUGUACCA